GACGAACCGUGCGAACGUUGUUCGGAAUCACUGGGCUUAAAGGGCGCGUAGGCGGCCAUCUAAGUCAGACGUGAAAUCCCCCGGCUUAACCUGGGAACUGCGUCUGAUACUGGACGGCUUGAGUAUGGGAGAGGGAUGUAGAAUUCCAGGUGUAGCGGUGAAAUGCGUAGAUAUCUGGAGGAAUACCGGUGGCGAAGGCGGCAGCCUGGACCAUUACUGACGCUGAGGCGCGAAAGCUAGGGGAGCAAACGGG
This 253-nucleotide ribosomal RNA is filed under the name uncultured bacterium. RNAcentral's name for it is "partial 16S ribosomal RNA". It matches the Rfam family "Bacterial small subunit ribosomal RNA", at positions 524 to 776 of the family's 1533-position model. The record is from RNAcentral.